Molecule: ribosomal RNA, 260 nt
Filed under: uncultured bacterium
Lineage: Bacteria
Description: partial 16S ribosomal RNA
Rfam family: Bacterial small subunit ribosomal RNA
Source: RNAcentral
AAGAGAAGCAAAGCCGCGAGGUAGAGCAAAUCUCAAAAAAACAAUCUCAGUUCAGACUGCAGGCUGCAACUCGCCUGCACGAAGUCGGAAUUGCUAGUAAUCGUAGGUCAGCAUACUACGGUGAAAUACGUUCCCGGGCCUUGUACACACCGCCCGUCAAACCAUGAGAGUUGGCAACACCCGAAGUCGGUAGUCUAACCGCAAGGAGGACGCCGCCGAAGGUGGGGUUGAUGAUUAGGGUUAAGUCGUAACAAGGUAGC